This 184-nucleotide ribosomal RNA is filed under the name uncultured Desulfarculaceae bacterium. Its description in RNAcentral is "partial 16S ribosomal RNA". It matches the Rfam family "Bacterial small subunit ribosomal RNA", at positions 1197 to 1374 of the family's 1533-position model. Lineage: Bacteria; Pseudomonadati; Thermodesulfobacteriota; Desulfarculia; Desulfarculales; Desulfarculaceae. The record is from RNAcentral.
GGCCUUUAUGUCCAGGGCUACACACGUGCUACAAUGGACGGUACAAAGGGUUGCUAUCCCGCGAGGAGGAGCUAAUCCCAAAAAGCCGUUCUCAGUUCGGAUCGGAGUCUGCAACUCGACUCCGUGAAGUUGGAAUCGCUAGUAAUCGUGGAUCAGCAUGCCACGGUGAAUACGUUCCGGCCUU